UGGGGAAUCUUGGACAAUGGGCGCAAGCCUGAUCCAGCCAUGCCGCGUGAGUGAAGAAGGCCUUCGGGUUGUAAAGCUCUUUUACCAGGGACGAUAAUGACGGUACCUGGAGAAUAAGCCCCGGCAAACUUCGUGCCAGCAGCCGCGGUAAUACGAAGGGGGCUAGCGUUGUUCGGAAUUACUGGGCGUAAAGCGCACGUAGGCGGAUUGUUAAGUCAGAGGUGAAAUCCCGGAGCUCAACUUCGGAACUGCCUUUGAUACUGGCAAUCUCGAGUCCGGAAGAGGUUAGUGGAAUUCCCAGUGUAGAGGUGAAAUUCGUAGAUAUUGGGAAGAACACCAGUGGCGAAGGCGGCUAACUGGUCCGGUACUGACGCUGAGGUGCGAAAGCGUGGGGAGCAAACAGGAUUAGAUACCCAAGUAGUCCCUGAGCGGGCUGGCAAGGCGCAU
This 447-nucleotide ribosomal RNA is filed under the name uncultured bacterium. RNAcentral's name for it is "bacterial SSU rRNA". It matches the Rfam family "Bacterial small subunit ribosomal RNA", at positions 355 to 825 of the family's 1533-position model. The record is from RNAcentral.